RNAcentral lists this ribosomal RNA (468 nucleotides) under uncultured bacterium. RNAcentral describes it as "partial 16S ribosomal RNA". It matches the Rfam family "Bacterial small subunit ribosomal RNA", at positions 28 to 507 of the family's 1533-position model. The record is from RNAcentral.
GACGAACGCUGGCGGCGUGCUUAACACAUGCAAGUCGAACGGAAAGGCCCUGCUUUUGUGGGGUGCUCGAGUGGCGAACGGGUGAGUAACACGUGAGUAACCUGCCCUUGACUUUGGGAUAACUUCAGGAAACUGGGGCUAAUACCGGAUAGGAGCUCCUGCUGCAUGGUGGGGGUUGGAAAGUUUCGGCGGUUGGGGAUGGACUCGCGGCUUAUCAGCUUGUUGGUGGGGUAGUGGCUUACCAAGGCUUUGACGGGUAGCCGGCCUGAGAGGGUGACCGGCCACAUUGGGACUGAGAUACGGACCAGACUCCAACGGGAGGCAGCAGUGGGGAAUCUUGCACAAUGGGCGGAAGCCUGAUGCAGCAACGCCGCGUGCGGGAUGACGGCCUUCGGGUUGUAAACCGCUUUCGCCUGUGACGAAGCGUGAGUGACGGUAAUGGGUAAAGAAGCACCGGCUAACUACGUG